Molecule: non-coding RNA, 110 nt
Organism: Daedaleopsis nitida
Lineage: Eukaryota; Fungi; Basidiomycota; Agaricomycetes; Polyporales; Polyporaceae
Source: the annotation of a GenBank genome assembly
GGUGAGAUGGCCGAGCGGUCUAAGGCGCCAGACUAAGGAGUCUAAGUAUUUGAACUGUGGCUUACGACAUCUGGUCCGAAAGGGCGUGGGUUCGAAUCCCACUCUCAUCA